This 1251-nucleotide ribosomal RNA is filed under the name uncultured fungus. RNAcentral describes it as "eukaryotic LSU rRNA". The stretch from base 456 to 1251 matches the Rfam family "Eukaryotic large subunit ribosomal RNA", at positions 1 to 649 of the family's 3401-position model. Lineage: Eukaryota; Fungi. The record is from RNAcentral.
UCAUUAUUGAUUUAGCGAACCGAGCGUUAGCGAGGUUCUGCGAUCGCUUAUAUUUAAAACCCACUCUUGAAUGUAUAAAAUUUAUGUAUUAAUGAUAAAAUUAAAGAUCACUUUCAACAACGGAUCUCUUGGCUCUCGCAUCGAUGAAGAACGUAGCGAAGUGCGAUAAGUAAUGUGAAUUGCAGAAUUCCGUGAAUCAUCGAAUCUUUGAACGCAAAUUGCACUUUCUGGUAUUCCGGAAAGUAUGCCUGUUUGAGGGUCAGUUAAAUAAAAAUCGGUGUUGUUGCUGCUUUUCGUGGUGACGCGUCGGAAUUGGGUCGUCUUACCUUCGGUUAAGUGACUUAAAAUUUUUUAUGAUUUUUUGAACGUAUUUAAAUUUUUUUGUACGUUUGAGAUAUCGAAUGUUUAUUAGGUUCGGUCAUCAUCAUGACUCGCGCCUAUAAUUUUUCAUUAAAUGACCUCAAAUCAGGUAAGAAUACCCGCUGAACUUAAGCAUAUCAAUAAGCGGGAAAAAGAAAAUAACAAUGAUUCCCUUAGUAACGGCGAGUGAAGGGGGAAAAGCUCAAAUUUUAAAUCUGCUAGGUUUUACUUAUCAGAAUUGUGAUUUGAAGAAGCGUUUUCCGCGUCUCGGUUGGCCCAAAUCCUUUGGGAUAAGGUAUCAUGGAGGGUGAGAAUCCCGUUCGGUUGACCUUAUGACGCUCUACGAUACGCUCUCUAAGAGUCGAGUUGUUUGGGAUUGCAGCUCAAAAUGGGAGGUAAAUUUCUCCUAAGGCUAAAUAUCGGCGAGAGACCGAUAGCGAACAAGUACCGUGAGGGAAAGAUGAAAAGAACUUUGAAAAGAGAGUAAAAUAGUACGUGAAAUUGUUGAAAGGGAAACGAUUGAAGUCAGUCGUACCGACGAGAAAUCAGCUUAUCGUGUGUGAACUUGUGGGCGUGCGUGAGUUUCGGCCUCGCUGUUUGCAUGUUUGUUCGCUUUGGGUGUACUUUUUCGUAUGGUUGGCCAACGUCAGUUUCGAUUACUAUAAAAUGACCGGCGGAAUGUAGCUUCGAUUUCGGUUGAAGUGUUAUAGCCUCUGGUAGAUGUGGUGAUUGGGACUGAGGAUUGCAACGAAUAUCCUUUGGGCUAUCCGUCUGACCUCUGAAAGUUGCUCAGGUGCCGAAAGCUUGCUUACGGUCAUCUAAGUUGACGGUCAACAGGUUAGAACGUGAUUACAUUCGUUAAGGACGUUGGCGUAAUGGCUUUAAACGACC